CACUGAUAAGGCUGUUUUGUCCCAUUCCUUAUGUGAGAAGUGAAGAAGCUACAGUGCAGUCCUAGUGUGCAGCAGAGCCUUGGAGUGUUUCAUACCACUCUCUUCAAGUUCAUUUUAAAGUAUUUGGUUAUAAUCUGUGAUGUUACGUAUUUGUGGAUCUAUUGUGAAGAAUUUAAACUCAAGUACAUGAAAGCAAGGCAAUACAGGCCUUCCAGAAGUUGAGCCAAAGCCAUGAGCUCCUUCAGCAGGGCUGGCCCAAAAGGCCAUGUGCAGAGGUGUCUGUUCCAUGAAAGGGAGGAUGGUGUGUAAAUUAGGGUGGGCUGAAAACCUGUAUUUAACCCCAGCUAAUGGCGGUGCAUAGCAGCAUAGGGGGAAUAGAUUAGAACAAGGGAAAUUUUGGGGGAAGGUUGUAGCCCUGUUAUGAAGAGCCGGACUGUGCAGCAUGCAGCCAGGUCCAUCCAGUGAUGAAAGAGCUGGUCUAUCCUCAUGGUGACAGUGGUGACAGCUCCAUGGAAGAGAGCAGUAGGUACUGAUGCUUCUCUUUUCCACAGUGGUUGUUUUUCCAGGUGGUACUUUUGUUUUAGUUGGUAAAUUGCUUAGGUUGGUGGUUGCUGCACAGAUAGUGAUGCAGGGAUAGUGAGGGGGAAGCACCUCAGCAACUGCAUGAGGGUCAUAAAGGGCAGGGAAGGGCUGCAUGGAAGAUGGAAAGGAUUUACUGUGUACACUGAGCUCACUUGAAUUGAGUCUGCCAACAGAUCCAAGGUUGAUUCUGACAGGGAUGUCCAACUUCUGCCAGUAGAACAGCUGCAUUUGGAAGAUGUUCCUCCAUUGCCUGGUGCUUCGGAUGCCAACUGUGAGGUCUGAAUGUUGCCUUGCUGUCUGUGUGACCCUACUAGAGAAGACAAAUUCACAGAGCAGCUGGAAGAGUACAUGCUAUGGUCACCCUACGUGCUGGCAGUUAAGGCAGUACCAAUAAGAAGACAUUUACUUUGCAAUAAGUGAUGUAAGAAGUGGCCCAGCAGGGAGUUACAUGUUGGGUAAGUACCUCUGUGAUUUUCUCUGACUUGUUUGUAAGUGCACUCACAGUUUUGUUAUGAGCAUAUUGUAAUCUUCUAUCAUUAUCUCAUUCUAAAAUAAUUUGGAAGUAUUUGGGGAAUGUUUGUGGAAAAUACUUGGUUACAGUAAUGGGUCAUCAAGUCCUUUACUUAACCACUGAGCACCUCCAUCAAGGUCUCUUCCUUCACACUACUACUUUGCAUUUCAGAGUUGUUCACAGCAGAUCAAGUGAAGGAGCUGCAGGUUAAUUCAAUUUCUACACUGUGUGAGCUUGGAACUCCUUUAAGAUGACAGUACACAUUUUUUCAUGCAUUCUGUAACCUAGAUCCUUGUCUCUAGGCACAGGUGGAUAUCACUGCCAUGUCACACAUCCACCUAACAGGUAGUACGUGGCAAUAUUACUAAAUUAAGUUUUUAUUAUUUUGCCAAUUCAACUUUGUCUUCUCACCAAAUAAAAAACAAGAAUAUUUUCA
Molecule: long non-coding RNA, 1529 nt
Filed under: Chrysolophus pictus (golden pheasant)
Lineage: Eukaryota; Metazoa; Chordata; Aves; Galliformes; Phasianidae
Description: lncRNA (ENSCPIG00010000888.1)
Source: RNAcentral